CUUUAUGCCAGCCUGCCCUGCCCAGACCCCAGGGUCUGGUGAGCUCCUCCUUCUCCUUGGCUGGGGGUGCCAUGGACACGCAAAGCUGAACACACAGGCCUAAGCUUGCCAGUGCCAUGAGACUGGCACAAGCGCAGCUGUCCCAGCACCCCAACCCCACAGCACCAGAAACACAUCCCAGUUCUCCAGCUGCUGGAGCAAGAAGCAGUUGUCGAGGCAGGAUCAGUCCAUGUUUGUGGCUGGGAUUGCCCUUCCCUGGCAUGAAGUAGCAUGUCACAGCACACAGGAGCUGUUAUCCACUCAGCUGCAGGAUGGCAGGGACACAGAAGCAUGGGGUACAUCAGGGAGGCACGAGGUGUAUCUGCCGUGGAUCCUCCUCCAAACUUUCCACCAAAACCACAUCUUACAUCUCCUCUAAUACUUUGUCCAGAUCCGCAAUGAACUCCUCCAGCUCCUGCGUGUCUCCAAGUUUAGCUUUAGAGGAGUAAGGACCAGUGUGGGUGUUGAGAUCUUCCUCACUGGAGUUCAAGCUGCUCGCUGGGGAUGUGCUGGUACUCUCCAGCUCAUCGAUGCCGCUGUCGUACACGCUGUGCCCCGCUUUCCUCUUCAGCUCCUCCAGGUGCCGCUCAUACUGACUCGCGGGGCCCCUGUCGAAGCCCUCGACGACCUCAUCGAAUUCCCGCAGCAGAUCGCUGAGCUCGUCCGACA
This 708-nucleotide long non-coding RNA is filed under the name Gallus gallus (chicken). The record is from RNAcentral. Lineage: Eukaryota; Metazoa; Chordata; Aves; Galliformes; Phasianidae.